ACGGGAGGCAGCAGUGGGGAAUAUUGCACAAUGGGCGCAAGCCUGAUGCAGCGAUGCCGCGUGAGGGAAGAAGGUUUUCGGAUUGUAAACCUCUGUCAACAGGGACGAAAGUGACGGUAGCCAAGGAGGAAGCCACGGCUAACUACGUGCCAGCAGCCGCGGUAAUACGUAGGUGGCAAGCGUUAUCCGGAAUUACUGGGUGUAAAGGGAGCGCAGGCGGGAUAGCAAGUCAGCGGUGAAAAUUAUGGGCUUAACUCAUAAACUGCCGUUGAAACUGUUAUUCUUGAGUGGAGUAGAGGCAGGCGGAAUUCCGAGUGUAGCGGUGAAAUGCGUAGAUAUUCGGAGGAACACCAGUGGCGAAGGCGGCCUGCUGGGCUCUAACUGACGCUGAGGCUCGAAAGUGUGGGGAGCAAACAGGAUUAGAUACCCUGGUA
This 434-nucleotide ribosomal RNA is filed under the name uncultured Clostridiales Family IV bacterium. RNAcentral describes it as "bacterial SSU rRNA". It matches the Rfam family "Bacterial small subunit ribosomal RNA", at positions 341 to 792 of the family's 1533-position model. The record is from RNAcentral. Lineage: Bacteria; Bacillati; Bacillota; Clostridia; Eubacteriales; Eubacteriales Family IV. Incertae Sedis.